Molecule: transfer RNA, 85 nt
Filed under: Candidatus Vogelbacteria bacterium RIFOXYB1_FULL_42_16
Lineage: Bacteria; Candidatus Vogeliibacteriota
Description: tRNA-Leu
Rfam family: tRNA
About the family: Transfer RNA (tRNA) molecules are approximately 80 nucleotides in length. Their secondary structure includes four short double-helical elements and three loops (D, anti-codon, and T loops). Further hydrogen bonds mediate the characteristic L-shaped molecular structure. tRNAs have two regions of fundamental functional importance: the anti-codon, which is responsible for specific mRNA codon recognition, and the 3' end, to which the tRNAs corresponding amino acid is attached (by aminoacyl-tRNA synthetases). tRNAs cope with the degeneracy of the genetic code in two manners: having more than one tRNA (with a specific anti-codon) for a particular amino acid; and 'wobble' base-pairing, i.e. permitting non-standard base-pairing at the 3rd anti-codon position.
Source: RNAcentral
GCUGGGAUGGCGAAAUUGGUAGACGCGCUAGCCUUAGGAGCUAGUGGGGCAACCCAUGGAGGUUCGAGUCCUCUUCCCAGCACAA